Molecule: long non-coding RNA, 465 nt
Filed under: Salmo salar (Atlantic salmon)
Lineage: Eukaryota; Metazoa; Chordata; Actinopteri; Salmoniformes; Salmonidae
Description: lncRNA (ENSSSAG00000099944.1)
Source: RNAcentral
CACUGAAGCCUUAGUUUCGCUCACAUCAACAGAAACAAUAUGCAAAUGUCUGUGUUCCCAUGAAAGGUUUAACACCAGUGCCGAGGUCCCCUCAGCAAGCAAACUGAGAAACACCCGCAGCCAGGACAAACUCCAGCCAUUGAUGAGUGUGGUCACAUCAGGAGCUAGCUGCCUAACACAUUUCUGGAGCUUUUUGGAAGGACAGACAGUCCUACCCUGCAACUUUAAACAUGGGCAUAAUGGACUGAAUACAUGGGCAUAAUGGACUACAAACAUGGGCAUAAUGGACUACAAACAUGGGCAUAAUGGAUUACAAAGAUGGCCAUAAUGAACUACAAAGACGGCCAUAAUGAACUACAAAGACGGCCAUAAUGGACUACAAACAUGGACAUAAUGGAUUACAAAGAUGGCCAUAAUGAACUACAAAGACGGCCAUAAUGAACUACAAACCUGGGCAUAAUGGAC